GACGAACGCUGGCGGCGUGCCUAAUACAUGCAAGUUGAGCGAUGAAGAUUGGUGCUUGCACCAAUUUGAAGAGCAGCGAACGGGUGAGUAACGCGUGGGGAAUCUGCCUUUGAGCGGGGGACAACAUUUGGAAACGAAUGCUAAUACCGCAUAACAACUUUAAACAUAAGUUUUAAGUUUGAAAGAUGCAAUUGCAUCACUCAAAGAUGAUCCCGCGUUGUAUUAGCUAGUUGGUGAGGUAAAGGCUCACCAAGGCGAUGAUACAUAGCCGACCUGAGAGGGGGAUCGGCCACAUUGGGAAUGAGACACGGCCCAAAAUCCUACGGGAGGGAGCAGUAGGGAAUCUUCGGCAAGGGACGAAAGUCUGACCGAGCAACGCCGCGGGAGGGAAGAAGGGUUUCGGAUCGUAAAACUCUGUUGGUAGAGAAGAACGUUGGUGAGAGUGGAAAGCUCAUCAAGUGACGGUAACUACCCAGAAAGGGACGGCUAACUACGUG
RNAcentral lists this ribosomal RNA (497 nucleotides) under uncultured bacterium. RNAcentral's name for it is "partial 16S ribosomal RNA". It matches the Rfam family "Bacterial small subunit ribosomal RNA", at positions 28 to 507 of the family's 1533-position model. The record is from RNAcentral.